This 301-nucleotide ribosomal RNA is filed under the name uncultured bacterium. RNAcentral's name for it is "partial 16S ribosomal RNA". It matches the Rfam family "Bacterial small subunit ribosomal RNA", at positions 509 to 809 of the family's 1533-position model. The record is from RNAcentral.
CAGCCGCCGCGGGAAUACGAAGGGGGCUAGCGUUGUUCGGAAUCACUGGGCGUAAAGCGCACGUAGGCGGACUUUUAAGUCAGGGGUGAAAUCCCAAGGCUCAACCUUGGAACUGCCUUUGAUACUGGAAGUCUUGAGUUCGGGAGAGGUGAGUGGAACUGCGAGUGUAGAGGUGAAAUUCGUAGAUAUUGGGAAGAACACCGGUGGCGAAGGCGGCAACCUGGCUCAUUACUGACGCUGAGGCGCGAAAGCGUGGGGAGCAAACAGGAUUAGAUACCCCAGUAGUCCCUGUCUCUUAUAA